GAUGAACGCUGGCGGCGUGCCUAAUACAUGCAAGUCGAGCGAACGGACGAGAAGCUUGCUUUUCUGAUGUUAGCGGCGGACGGGUGAGUAACACGUGGAUAACCUACCUAUAAGACUGGGAUAACUUCGGGAAACCGGAGCUAAUACCGGAUAAUAUUUUGAACCGCAUGGUUCAAAAGUGAAAGACGGUCUUGCUGUCACUUAUAGAUGUAUCCGCGCUGCAUUAGCUAGUUGGUAAGGUAACGGCUUACCAAGGCAACGAUGCAUAGCCGACCUGAGAGGGUGAUCGGCCACACUAGAACUGAGACACGGUCCAGACUCCUACGGGAGGCAGCAGUAGGGAAUCUUCCGCAAUGGGCGAAAGCCUGACGGAGCAACGCCGUGUGAGUGAUGAAGGUCUUCGGAUCGUAAAACUCUGUUAUUAGGGAAGAACAUAUGUGUAAGUAACUGUGCACAUCUUGACGGUACCUAAUCAGAAAGCCACGGCUAACUACGUG
RNAcentral lists this ribosomal RNA (497 nucleotides) under uncultured bacterium. Its description in RNAcentral is "partial 16S ribosomal RNA". It matches the Rfam family "Bacterial small subunit ribosomal RNA", at positions 28 to 507 of the family's 1533-position model. The record is from RNAcentral.